Molecule: transfer RNA, 77 nt
Filed under: Lachnospiraceae bacterium
Lineage: Bacteria; Bacillati; Bacillota; Clostridia; Lachnospirales; Lachnospiraceae
Description: tRNA-Ala
Rfam family: tRNA
About the family: Transfer RNA (tRNA) molecules are approximately 80 nucleotides in length. Their secondary structure includes four short double-helical elements and three loops (D, anti-codon, and T loops).
Source: RNAcentral
GGGCCUUGGAACUGCAAGGGGUGGUUGCCAGUUUUGCAAACUGGAUGUUCAGACGGGUUCAAUUCCCGUAAGGUCCA